Molecule: small nucleolar RNA, 109 nt
Organism: Caenorhabditis elegans
Lineage: Eukaryota; Metazoa; Nematoda; Chromadorea; Rhabditida; Rhabditidae
Source: Ensembl
UCACCGAACCAAGGUGGUUCUGAGUUGCUCACAUGCUCAGAUAAGUGGAAGUUCGGAAGAUUGAUGAUCAAAAAGGUGGUGUUGAAUCUUAUUGUUUCAUUCAACAUUG